Phyllostomus discolor (pale spear-nosed bat) is the source of this 451-nucleotide long non-coding RNA. RefSeq lists it as uncharacterized. NCBI's taxonomy places the organism in Eukaryota, Metazoa, Chordata, Mammalia, Chiroptera, Phyllostomidae. The record is from RefSeq and is a predicted model, not a curated record. The transcript has 4 exons.
CCAAAACGUUGUAUUGUUUCUAAAACUGGAAAAGACACCAGCAUUUGGGCUGCCUGUCACCACCAAACCCAAUAAGCAAUGACAGCGACUGAAUCUUUAUGAGCACUAUAUCCAGAUGGCCAGUGAUCUGAGAAGAUGGUGAAUUCAUACCCUAACAGACCAUCUUGUCUUUUCUUUCCAGGCCAGACCUUUUACAAGUGUGAGGGAGAUAAACAAGGUGCAUUGAGGGCUUUGAGAUUCAGAAGCUGAAACAUUCCUGUCCUGGGCAGUUAGCUGUUCCCAGGGGAGGGUGGUUGUCUAUCUCUCCCUGGAAUACAAAGGCCCGGAUGUCUCCAACUUGUCCCCAGGUGGUAAUCUCUAGCAGUGCCCCAUGAGGUCGGGUGUUUUCCCAGGAGUCAGGAUGGGCCUUAUCUGUAGUUUCUGAUACAAAAGCUUUAACAUAUAUGUUACU